CAGCACCUCAAGUGGUCAGGAUGAUUAUUGGGCCUAAAGCAUCCGUAGCCGGCGCUGUAAGUUUUCGGUUAAAUCUGUACGCUCAACGUACAGGCUGCCGGGAAUACUGCAGCGCUAGGGAGUGGGAGAGGUAGACGGUACUCGGUAGGAAGGGGUAAAAUCCUUUGAUCUAUUGAUGACCACCUGUGGCGAAGGCGGUCUACCAGAACACGUCCGACGGUGAGGGAUGAAAGCUGGGGGAGCAAACCGGAUUAGAGACCCGUGUAGUC
RNAcentral lists this ribosomal RNA (269 nucleotides) under uncultured archaeon. Its description in RNAcentral is "partial 16S ribosomal RNA". It matches the Rfam family "Archaeal small subunit ribosomal RNA", at positions 477 to 746 of the family's 1478-position model. The record is from RNAcentral.